UUGUUUGAUUUAAUGAACAUCUCCUCUUUUAAAAUUUUUGAUAGAAAAAAAAAUGUUGUAAAUGAUAAGAUCUAAUUUUAUUUUUGGGUCAAAAAAGGAGUGCUCCUUCUAUAUCAAUGGAUUGUUUGAAAAUGACUCAAACAAUUAUAUCAAUUAUCAAGUAUGGCCAAGGAUAUACAAAAGUAACAUCCUUGUUUCCUUGUCUGUAAAUUUAUUUGUAUUAAAGGAGUUUGUUAAUAAAAGUAAGAUAUUUAAAUUAAGUAAAUAUGCUGUAAAAACUGACUGUCUCAGUAACUCCAAAGUUUUUGGCUAGCUUUCAGUAAUUAAUUCGAGACAAAGUUAUGAAGUACAUGCCGAAUCUGAAUAAAUUGGGUGGGGGUUAUUUUAGUAAAUUCAUAAAUAUUUGCCAUAGUUUUUGUGUAUCGUGUGGCCUCAAAGCGUGUUUUGGGUGGGGUUUGACAUGAGCCAAACACGUGACUUGGUCUUUGCUGCCUUGAAGUUUGGGCAAAACUAAAACCUAACAAAGAGGAUCCCACACAAGAGAGAAAAUAUAAAUAUCAAAGAAUUAUAAUGAAUAAAAACAAAUCGGCAGUUGAAAAAGGGAGUGCCCAUAUAAAAUCUGCAUGAGUACGUAUUAUUUUUAUUUAUAUAUUCGCGGCGGUUUUACGUUG
RNAcentral lists this long non-coding RNA (671 nucleotides) under Citrus x clementina. RNAcentral describes it as "Citrus clementina (C. clementina) long non-coding RNA (CCLE_LNC003399)". Lineage: Eukaryota; Viridiplantae; Streptophyta; Magnoliopsida; Sapindales; Rutaceae. The record is from RNAcentral.